Varroa destructor (honeybee mite) is the source of this 1374-nucleotide non-coding RNA. NCBI's taxonomy places the organism in Eukaryota, Metazoa, Arthropoda, Arachnida, Mesostigmata, Varroidae. The record is from RefSeq and is a predicted model, not a curated record.
GCCCCUGGAGAGUCGUUCGUGUCACUUGGGGAUUCGAAGUUCCGGUCAGAAUGUGUGACGAUGACGUUGCCGCCCUCGUUGUGGAUAAUGGAUCUGGUCUAUGCAAGGCUGGAUUCGCUGGAGACGACGCCCCUCGUGCCGUCUUCCCCUCGAUCGUAGGCCGCCCCCGUCACCAGGGAGUCAUGGUCGGUAUGGGCCAGAAGGACUCGUACGUCGGCGAUGAGGCUCAGUCGAAACGUGGUAUUCUCACCUUGAAGUACCCGAUUGAGCACGGUAUCGUCACUAACUGGGAUGAUAUGGAGAAGAUCUGGCACCAUACCUUCUACAACGAGCUCCGUAUCGCUCCCGAGGAGCACCCCGUGUUGCUCACUGAGCCCCCCCUUAACCCCAAGGCUAACCGUGAAAAGAUGACCCAGAUCAUGUUCGAGACAUUUAACACUCCGGCCAUGUACGUCGCCAUCCAAGCCGUGCUGUCCCUGUACGCCUCUGGCCGUACCACCGGUAUUGUGCUUGAUUCCGGUGACGGUGUGUCGCACACCGUACCUAUCUAUGAAGGCUAUGCUCUUCCUCAUGCUAUCCUUCGUCUCGAUCUUGCCGGUCGUGAUCUGACUGACUACUUGAUGAAAAUCCUUACCGAGCGUGGUUAUUCAUUCGUCACCACCGCUGAGCGUGAAAUCGUGCGUGAUAUUAAGGAGAAGUUGUGCUACGUCGCCCUGGAUUUCGAGCAAGAGAUGGCCACCGCUGCUUCUUCGUCGUCCUUAGAAAAGUCGUACGAGCUUCCCGACGGUCAGGUCAUCACCAUUGGUAACGAGCGUUUCCGUUGCCCCGAGUCUCUGUUCCAGCCCUCGUUCAUCGGAAUGGAGUCAUGCGGUAUCCAUGAGACUACCUUCAACUCAAUCAUGAAGUGCGACAUUGAUAUCCGUAAGGAUCUGUACGCUAACACCGUUCUCUCUGGUGGUACCACCAUGUAUCCCGGUAUUGCUGACCGUAUGCAGAAAGAAAUCACCUCUUUGGCUCCCUCAACCAUGAAAAUUAAGAUCAUUGCUCCCCCCGAGAGGAAGUAUUCCGUCUGGAUCGGCGGUUCCAUCCUUGCCUCCCUGUCCACCUUCCAGCAGAUGUGGAUCUCGAAGGAGGAAUACGACGAGUCUGGCCCUGCCAUCGUACACAGGAAGUGCUUCUAAGAAAUUUAAGUCCAUCACUGCCAAAGUCGGGACUACGCCCGGUUUCGCUCUCUUCCGAAUGCCAUCAUCCAGGAGGAGACCUCGACGAAAAGGAUGAUCAAUAACUCAAAAACCGCCAAACGAAACAACAUCGAAUCCUUCCAUAUUUACACCAUCUAAUAAACCAAAGAACAUUGCAAUCUUUAUACAGAUA